GACGGAGGGUGCAAGCGUUGCUCGGAAUCACUGGGCGUAAAGGGUGCGUAGGCGGUCUCGCAAGUCUGGCGUGAAAGCCCAAGGCUCAGCCUUGGAAGUGCGCUCGAAACGGCGAGGCUGGAGUGCCGGAGGGGAGAGUGGAAUUCCCGGUGUAGCGGUGAAAUGCGUAGAUAUCACUUGGAACGCCAAUGGUGAAAACAGCUCGCUGGGAAUGAUCUGACACUGAGACGCGAAAGCCAGGGGAGCGAACGGG
RNAcentral lists this ribosomal RNA (253 nucleotides) under uncultured bacterium. Its description in RNAcentral is "partial 16S ribosomal RNA". It matches the Rfam family "Bacterial small subunit ribosomal RNA", at positions 524 to 776 of the family's 1533-position model. The record is from RNAcentral.